GUUGCUUUAGGUGCUCUGGGAGUCUGGUUUUGAGACUUGUUUAUGUGUCUUCUCAUUUUGACAGGGGUGGGGGUGUUGAUGGUGCCUGUACGGUUCACCUCCUGUGUGCUGAGGGGGGUGGUAUGGCAGCCCAGAAGCCUUCUCCUUGGCACUGGGAGCAGUUCACCUCCUGUGUGUUGGGGGAAGGAGUGGUACGGCGGCCCGGAAGCCUCUUCCUGGGCGCUGGGAGUGGCUCACCUCCUGUGCACUCAAAGUUGAGGAUUCUUUGCAAGAGAGUCUUGCCAUGCCCAGAAUCCAAGCACUAUAACUUGGUAGUGGGCAGAGCUACCUCAUCAGAUGUUUUUCUUGUCAGAGAGCAUACUCUUUCACCCCUAAGGCAACUAAAAGCCCAGAUACUACACAAAGCCUUGAGAAAUGUGUGCUUUUUUGGUCUUUGUAGCAUUUGGGAUUCUGACCACAUAUUUAUUGGAGAAGAGCUUUCUCUUUCAACUGAAGAUCUCUUCAAUCUCUUAAACUUUGCCAAGAAUAAUAGUGUUUCUGAAGGAGGACAGUCCAACAAUAUUAUUACUUCACUCUGGUCAAGGAAUCUUCCCAUUCAAAAACAAACAUGUUCUGGAAGUCAGGGCCCAAGGAAAUACAAAAAAAAGUUGCAUCUUUGGGUCCACUACCAUCAUCUUAGGACAAGGUGAUAAGUAAGGUACAAGUGUUGGGCAUCAAUGGAUGGAUGGCUGUCCCUGUCUGUUUAAUUUUCCUUAAAUUCUGCAUAAAGACUCCCUCCCAUGUGUCUGGCUUUUGCAGUGUUGAAUUUAGGCUCUUACAUGGGCCUAGCAAGAACCAAUGAGUAUAUAUUCCAUAAGGCAGUAAAUCAAGGCUGAGUACUUCACAUAUCUGUGAAAUAGGUGAUGGCUCAACCUUUGGAUUUUUCAUCCAAAAUGGAUUUCACCAUGGACAGACCUGGUGUCCUUGCUUGUCCCUCCCCUCUAUCGCAACGUACAUCCAGUUUCAUCUCUUUGGAGAUUUCUCUGGGAUGUCGUGCAAGCUUCUGAUUUGGGCAGUUGUUGGUGAUGAUUCAUGCCAGGCAUCCACACAGUGGAGCAUCUUCUCAUGAUUUUCUGGGUAUAUUUCCUUUUUUUUAGUGCAACAUGGGCAAGUUAGUGAGACCCUGUAUACAAAUUAAACACUUAAAAAAGACAGGAAAAGUAGAUCAGUGUGAAGAACGUGGCUUCAAUCUCCAGUAGAGGUGGUAGGGGGGAGGGGAGAUACAAACAAAACUAACAAGAGUGAAGCAAAGUGUAAUGCACAUACAAAACAUGUGCGGCAAGCCCAAGUGGCCAGCUUGAUGUGUACUCACAAUGUGCACACACUCUGCCACCCAGGUGUUACAAGGGGCCUUCACAAUACCCCAGGAGCUUCUGUUGGGUCUCUUAGUCUUUGUUUUCAACCUUUUUAUUUUUCAUUUAAUUAUUGUGAUUACCAGUGAUAGGAUAUUAUUAUUCUGGUAAUGCUGGAGAUUGAACCCAGGGCCUUGCUCACACUCAUGUUCCACCACUGACCUAAAAACUAGCCUGGGAGGAUUUUAAAAACUUCUUUGAUGGAUUCUGCACUCUGGCUUCCAAGAUCCUGGGCAUCCCUUCACAGCCAAAUUCUGUGGGCUUUUUUCAGCCUUGUGGCAUGUGGUCUCACACACUUAGCGUUCUAGAAACUUCCCUGUCUGGCCUCUGUAACUGCCUGUCUGUGUUCCUCCAGGUCCUCUCCACUUUCUGUUUCCUUCUUCUGGACAUGUGUGUGGACAGGGUGUUCCCCUUGGUCCGGGCUUUAGCCUCCUCUUCAAGCUGUGACUGGUCCUGGUGUGUGCUGACCCUAUGCCCCUCUCCCAGCUCCAUACCUCUCUCCAGAGCUACACACUUGUGCCAACUUCCACUGGACUUCCCACUGGGAUCCCUCGGGGCAUGUCAUCCCCAACAGCCCCAGCUCUGUCUCAUCAUCCCUCCUGCCCAAGGAUGUUUCAGUCACAUUCUCUGUCAGCUUAAAGAUCAACAUCACCUGCAUGGACGCUUCACCCAAAACCCUGGCAACAUCGGAGAUGUCUCCUCUCAGAUGGUAGCAUUCCAUCUCCUUAGCAUCCCUGGAACCUGUCCUCUUUCAUACCUCACUUUUCCCUGCCUAAAUCUUCAUCAUCUUUUUCUUGAAUAGCUUAUUUCUCAUUCAUAUGACUGUUUAGCAGCAUAAUUAAUUGUAAGCAGAUUGAAGCCAUGUCCUCAAGUAUAAAGAGUGAGAUGAAAGAAUAUGAUUGGGGAAGAGGGUUCCCUGUAGGGAAGACUUCUCUGAAGAGGCCUCUCUGAGGCCUGAAGCAGGAGUGAGCUAAACCUCAAAACCUUUAGACAGCAGAUUCAUGGUUCACUGUGUGGUCUUCAGGUCUUCAAGCUGCCACUCCCUGUAAAUAUUGAGUACUUUAAUCUCAUCAAAUGCUUAAGACUCAAAAACAAAAGCCAUAUGAUAUUUCCUUCCUGUCAAUGUACCUGAUUCCAUCUGUUAAGAAAAGAUUAUUUAAUAAUAUUAGUUAAAGUACAGUAAGACUUUACCCAGGACCUUUGAGACAGGCAUAGGGACCACUGAUGCAGGGUCUUACUGUGGGGACAGCCGAGGCUCAUCUCUGAGUGCAGCUUGGGCAUAGGGGAUUCACAGCCAAGAGCAGGUGGGGUCAGCGGAUGGAAAGUCACUUUGGAGAUUCUGUAACCUGUGACAAGCCUCUUCCUGUGGGCAGGCCAGAGUGACCAGGCUUCACUGGGGGACCUGAUGGAACGUGAGGGGAGAUCCGAUCCAAGGGUGGAGAGGGCCUCGCUUUGUAGUCUAGGAUGACCUUGACCUUCUGGUGAUUCUCCUGCCUCAGCCUCCCAAGUGUUGGGGUCACAGUCAAAUACGGAGGAGCGCAAAAGAUCUGUCCACACACUAGAGACCUAAAGAAUACAGCUGAGGGCCUGGAUCCCACAGCAGUGUCCCCCUCGAGUCCAGCCAGAGCUCUAGAGUCCACGGCAGUGUCUCAUGCAAGUCCAUAUCGAGGAUCUGCAUCAGGAAGGCCCAACGGCCAGUCGUGGAAGCCAGAAAGUCUGCACCGUGAGGUGAAGGGUCUAUGCGACCAGGCUGAGGGAUCUGCACUGGAGCCCUGACGUGAUGCUCAGGGUGAGGACCCGAGCUCCUCAGAUGAUAACAGCUGAGUUCGUAUCAGGAAAACCAGCCACGGAAAGCUUCUCCAGAAAAAUCAACAGUAUACAGUAUUCCCCUCCAGUUCUCCUUCUACGCACUGGCAACAAUCCUCAGUUUAUGAAAGCAGGAGCUCGGGAUAGGAGGAGCUGAGCAGCAGAGGGCUGCGUGCACACCUCUUCGUGGUCCUCGCCGGCGUGGGGACACUGUCCUGUCCCGGCCUCACCUCGGUCCGCCCAGCCCGGUCUGUGCAGAGAGCGAUCGCUGCCGGCUGAGGCGCCCUCUCCAGGAGGUCAAAGGGAGCGGGACGGAAGCGCGCUCGGCCUGCGCAGUGUGCAAAUGUGUUCCCUGGGUGCGCAGGAGCCAGCGGCGCUGUUCUGCUUGUCUUUAGACUGCAAAAGUCAAGCUCAGGAGGGCCACAGCUGUCCAAGGUCUCAGGCUAGCCCGGCCCCCCGGACGAACCCCAGAGCCAGAGGCACAGCAGAGGCCUGACGCCGUGCCCAGGGCUACUCAACUGCCCCCUGUACGGAUUCCAGUGCGACUAACACCCGCCUGGGGAGAUCUGUCACUCCGCGAGCUCUGCACCCCCGCAGGGCCUGGGGCAGCACCGAGCCCGCCAUCGUCCUUCUGGUUCGGACGCGUUGCUCCAUUUGUCCAGCAGGUGGCGCCACACAACCGCCGGAAUCCGUGGCUUCCCAGCUCACUUUGAGAAUUAAGAGCAAAAAUCAAAGGAAAGAAGGGAAAGGAAAAAAUGACGAGAAGUGGAAAAAAUGGAAAUAAAGUCUUUGUAAAUAGGGAAGGGUGGAGGGUGUGAAUGGAGGGCUAGGAAUGGGGAAAAAAUAAGAACCAAGAUGCAUUAUGUAAAGGUACAGU
Long non-coding RNA from Heterocephalus glaber (naked mole-rat), 4074 nucleotides. NCBI's taxonomy places the organism in Eukaryota, Metazoa, Chordata, Mammalia, Rodentia, Bathyergidae. The record is from Ensembl.